Molecule: ribosomal RNA, 253 nt
Filed under: uncultured microorganism
Description: partial 16S ribosomal RNA
Rfam family: Bacterial small subunit ribosomal RNA
Source: RNAcentral
UACGUAGGGUGCGAGCAUUAAUCGGAUUUACUGGGCGUAAAGCGUGCGCAGGCGGCCCGUUAAGACAGGUGUGAAAUCCCUGGGCUCAACCUAGGAAUUGCGCUUGUGACUGGCGGGCUCGAGUACGGUAGAGGGGGGUGGAAUUCCUGGUGUAGCAGUGAAAUGCGUAGAGAUCAGGAGGAACACCGAUGGCGAAGGCAGCCCCCUGGGCCUGUACUGACGCUCAUGCACGAAAGCGUGGGGAGCAAACAGG